ACACGUGGAUCCAAGAUGGCGGCGGCGAUGGUGAGUGAAGGAGACUCUGGGAACCGGAGCUGGAGCAGGGCCCCCUGGAUAGCCCAGGACCUUCCAGCGCCCCACGCCUGGUUCCCAGCCUCCUCCAGAACCCCUGCUCGGGUUACCCUGGACUGGGUUGGCCUCUACAAAGUCUCUUUCUCUAGCCUUGGCAUGGCAUCUAGGCUUGUCAGGGCCUGGAGUUUUAGGGGAGGUGCCGCUUGGAAGGAAGACUUUGGCUAAUGCCUUCACGGUUCUCAUUUCGGCUUCCAUUCCCGCCCCUUGUCACCUCUAUUUCCCAAUCCUUCCCCUCCAGGCUUUGUCUCCUCCCGAGAGUCCCCCGUUAUUCCUUCGCUCCUCCUCCUCACGUUCAUACUCUGUUCUCUCCACAUACCCAUCAGCCUAACCAGUCUACGGGUUGCUA
RNAcentral lists this long non-coding RNA (442 nucleotides) under Rattus norvegicus (Norway rat). Its description in RNAcentral is "long non-coding RNA NONRATT019822". Lineage: Eukaryota; Metazoa; Chordata; Mammalia; Rodentia; Muridae. The record is from RNAcentral.